GACGGAGGGUGCAAGCGUUGUUCGGAAUCACUGGGCGUAAGGCGCGUGUAGGCGGUUUGAUAAGUCGAAUGUGAAAGCCCGAGGCUCAACCUCGGAAGUGCAUUCGAAACUGUCAGGCUUGAGUACGGGAGAGGGAAGUGGAAUUCCUGGUGUAGAGGUGAAAUUCGUAGAUAUCAGGAGGAACACCGGUGGCGAAGGCGGCUUCCUGGACCGAUACUGACGCUGAGACGCGAAAGCGUGGGGAGCAAACAGG
This 253-nucleotide ribosomal RNA is filed under the name uncultured bacterium. RNAcentral's name for it is "partial 16S ribosomal RNA". It matches the Rfam family "Bacterial small subunit ribosomal RNA", at positions 524 to 776 of the family's 1533-position model. The record is from RNAcentral.